Molecule: long non-coding RNA, 1192 nt
Filed under: Macaca mulatta (Rhesus monkey)
Lineage: Eukaryota; Metazoa; Chordata; Mammalia; Primates; Cercopithecidae
Description: lncRNA (ENSMMUG00000065031.1)
Source: RNAcentral
GUUAUAAAAACCCACGCUAUAAAAGUGACAGGGACAGGCUCGCGGCGGGGCUGCAGAAAGCUAGAGGACUUUUGCUCCCCAAAAGGCUCGUAGCAGAGCCCGUGCAUAUACCUGUGGGGACCUUGUUACACUGCGUUGUAAUCACUGUUACCAUGCUCAUGACAUUUGCUUACCACGAGGUUCGUGGAGUCAAUAAUGCUCCCAUCACCUCUAGGGUCUGGUACACAGUAGGUACUUGAAAGCAGAACCAGUGAAUGAUGGAAGGCUGUGUAGAUGGAUACUAUCUUGAAAAAUGAUUAGCAAGUGUAUUUUCAAUUUACAGUAAAGCAGGUCACCCUGCAGCCUCCCACCCAUCAUAUUAACAGCAUUUAUCACCUCUGAGAGAGGGUAGAUACCACCUACAGAAACGAAAAAUCCACUGCUCAAUUUUUAGUUUCAAUCACCCGUUUCAGAGGCCAUAAUGGCAAAAUCCUGGCCUUCAUGUGUCUAGAGCCAAAUGUGAAGAUCUGAGAAGAGAGCUUGGCUGUGACCCAUGGGUAUGACAGAUCCAGGCUGUGAGAGGAAUGCCGAGCUGGUAGGACAGUGGUGUGGGAUGUCACAGGAGGAGAGAGGUGCAGACACAUUGGGCCUGUGGAGAGAUGAAAACAGCAUUCUGGCUCUGGGGAAUCUGAGAACUCUGGGGCUGGUGCCAGCUCCUCUGGGUUUAGCAUGACCGACAGCUAAGCAGAGGAGCGGAAGGAUGGUUAUGAAGAGUGGAAGUUCUAGACAAGAAUGAACAGUUUACAGUCACUUGUAGAACUGUCUGUCUCUUUCCAGUAUCUGAAGUUUGACAGUCUCAAAGGGCAUCUCUGGGAAUUUUUGAGUGUCAGUGUGCCGCUCAAAGAGUGGCAGGAGGGGCCCCUAGCAGCCAGUGCAGCAAGGCAGACAGGACCCGCAUGCCAGCACCCGGCCUGUCUGAUGACACUGAUUCCGAAAGAACUCGCUGCCGUAUCCUCAUGUACUCAUCCAAAUCACGAUUUUAAGUUGGUGAUGGAGACGUCGACCCACAGCUGAUGUUGGUGACUCCUUUCCUCCAGCCCUCAUAUAGCAAAUGGAGACAGAUGGAGAUCAGUGCAGAAGUUACAACAUUAGAAAGGGGGUGAGGGCCUGAAAGGAGGUGGAGCUGCUGAACGGGGGCUUUAGAAAGCUGAAU